GGGAUUACCUCAGUAACGGCGAGUGAAGCGGUAAAAGCUCAAAUUUGAAAUCUGGCUCUUUUAGAGUCCGAGUUGUAAUUUGUAGAAGAUGCUUCGGGUGUGGUUCCGGUCUAAGUUCCUUGGAACAGGACGUCAUAGAGGGUGAGAAUCCCGUAUGUGACUGGAUACCUACGCCCAUGUGAAGCUCUUUCGACGAGUCGAGUUGUUUGGGAAUGCAGCUCAAAAUGGGUGGUAUAUUUCAUCUAAAGCUAAAUAUUGGCCAGAGACCGAUAGCGCACAAGUAGAGUGAUCGAAAGAUGAAAAGCACUUUGGAAAGAGAGUUAAACAGUACGUGAAAUUGUUGAAAGGGAAGCGCUUGCAACCAGACUUGCGCUCGUUGCUCAGUAGGGCCUCGUGCCCUAUGUUUAUUCUUCGAGUUCAGGCCAGCAUCAGUUUGGGUGGUUAGAUAAAGGCUUAGAGAAUGUGGCCCUCUUCGGGGGGUGUUAUAGCUCUAGGUGCAAUGUAGCCUACCUGGACUGAGGACCGCGCUUCGGCUAGGAUGCUGGCGUAAUGGUUGUAAGCGACCCGUCUUGAAACACGGACCAAGGAGUGUACCUCAUAUGCGAGUGUUUGGGUGUUAAACCCAUACGCGUAAUGAAAGUGAACGGAGGUGAGAACCCUUAAGGGUGCAUCAUCGACCGAUCCUGAUGUCUUCGGAUGGAUUUGAGUAAGAGCAUAUGGGGUGCGACCCGAAAGAUGGUGAUCUAUACGUGAAUAGGGUGAAGCCAGAGGAAACUCUGGUGGAGGCUCGCAGCGGUUCUGACGUGCAAAUCGAUCGUCAAAUUUGCGUAUAGGGGCGAAAGACUAAUCGAACCAU
This 856-nucleotide ribosomal RNA is filed under the name Ciboria amentacea. RNAcentral's name for it is "partial large subunit ribosomal RNA". It matches the Rfam family "Eukaryotic large subunit ribosomal RNA", at positions 71 to 943 of the family's 3401-position model. The record is from RNAcentral. Lineage: Eukaryota; Fungi; Ascomycota; Leotiomycetes; Helotiales; Sclerotiniaceae.